UACGUAGGUGGCAAGCGUUGUCCGGAUUUACUGGGCGUAAAGGGCGUGCAGGCGGCUUGUUAAGUGCAGGGUGAAAGCUCCCGGCUCAACUGGGAGAGGUUCUUGCAUACUGGCGAGCUCGAGGGAGGCAGAGGAAAGUGGAAUUCCCGGUGUAGUGGUGAUAUGCGUAGAUAUCGGGAGGAACACCUGUGGCGAAGGCGGCGUUCUGGGCCGUUCCUGACGCUGAGACGCGAAAGCGUGGGGAGCGAACAGG
Molecule: ribosomal RNA, 253 nt
Filed under: uncultured bacterium
Lineage: Bacteria
Description: partial 16S ribosomal RNA
Rfam family: Bacterial small subunit ribosomal RNA
Source: RNAcentral